GUUGGAGAAACAGCUAGCAUAAUUGAUCACUUCCAUCAAUGAACUGAAACGUCAGCUCCCGAUCACAUUCAAAUUCGAAACGCAACAUAUCUCCUCACAUCCGCAAAUUCGACAUAUGCUGGUACCAUUAUUUACACUAUUUCUUAGCUUCUUCCUUCAAUUUAUAAUAAUUGAAGGAAGAAGCUAAGAAAUAUAUUCCACCAUGCAAAUUUCAAAAGCAAGAACAAAAACAGGAACUAUUAAACUAAACCGCCUGCACCCUGUUGCGGCAAAUGGCGCAGGCAACAUCAAUUCAUACAGCCUCUUCGUUACUAAUGUACCGACUGGCAUCCGUUUCCUGACUGAUUCAGGAGCGGACAUAUCUGUCAUUCUACCGUCCUCUAAAGCAGUGUUUCUCAAACUUUCUGGAACUACGGAACCCUCUCAAUUUAUUUUCGUUUUCGCGGAACCUUUUUGAAAAUAUGAGUUGUAUAGGUAUGUCGUAUUAUUCUCCUCUUUUGCGUAUUCUGCGACUAAGAAAGAGGUGAGGUUAUUUUAGCCAAAUUAAAAAAAAGAAACCUUUCACAUUCAGGAACUUUCAAGAUCUUCCAGAUAUUUUAUAAAAAAAAACUGCAACAUAGAAAAUAAAUUUUUGCUCU
Molecule: long non-coding RNA, 638 nt
Filed under: Androctonus crassicauda
Lineage: Eukaryota; Metazoa; Arthropoda; Arachnida; Scorpiones; Buthidae
Source: RNAcentral